UACGAAGGGUGCAAACGUUGCUCGGAAUUAUUGGGCGUAAAGCGCACGUAGGCGGCUUGGCAAGUCGGAUGUGAAAUCCCUCGGCUCAACCAAGGAAGUGCAUCCGAAACUGCCGAGCUUGAGUACUUAAGAGGAUCGCGGAAUUCCCGGUGUAGAGGUGAAAUUCGUAGAUAUCUGGAGGAACACCGGUGGCGAAGGCGGCAUCCUGGACCAAUUCUGACACUGAGGAGCGAAAGCCAGGGGAGCAAACGGG
This 253-nucleotide ribosomal RNA is filed under the name uncultured bacterium. RNAcentral describes it as "partial 16S ribosomal RNA". It matches the Rfam family "Bacterial small subunit ribosomal RNA", at positions 524 to 776 of the family's 1533-position model. The record is from RNAcentral.